This is a long non-coding RNA of Gallus gallus (chicken), 12957 nucleotides long. RefSeq lists it as uncharacterized. The transcript is spliced from 2 exons. Lineage: Eukaryota; Metazoa; Chordata; Aves; Galliformes; Phasianidae. The record is from RefSeq and is a predicted model, not a curated record.
CCUUUCCGCCAUCUUGAGUGAGGGACGCGGCAUGUCAGGAGCGGGCGGCCAUCUUGGGCGUUGGGGUUUGCCCGCUCCUGCGUGCUUUCGAGGCUCAUUUUUGGAUCUGUGAGGGAAAGGGCUGCUGGGACGGGAGAUGAAAGCCUCGAAGAAGGCUUCGGCCAGCAGCUGAAUAACAGAAACAAAACCAAGCCAGGCUUUCUGGGUGAAGAACCCGUACUGCAGGCUCACCUGCCCGCUGAGGAGAGGCACAGUGGCCCUCCCACAUGCCCGCAGCCUCCAGGUAAGCCCUGCCCUAUGCCCCAGAGCUUGCCUGCUUGCCUGCAGGAAUGCAGCCAUCAUGUUAGUCAGAGAGGGGUUUUGUUGGUCUGGAGCCAGGCUGCUUCAUGAGGUGAUUUCUCUUGCUAGGAGAAGACAACAGGGAGGUGAGGAAAUACACAGCUGUAAGAUGUUUUCCAACCCUCAAAAAGAAAAUGUCAAAUCUCAGGGCAGUGCAUUUGUGCAAGUUGUGUGAAAAUGCUUCCCCCCUCCCAUGAGAAAAUGAGCCAGAUUUGUUGAAAUCUUCCAGAAGAUCUGGUUGUUGCAGGGCCCCAGUUCUGCAAACAGGUCCAAGCUGGAAGCCAGGACUUUGUUUGCCUGUGUCUGGGGCUUUACCAUCUCUCUGCAUUGCCAGGCUGGAUGACAAGAAAAUUAACAGCUUUGUCCUCUUUGGGGACUUUGUUUUUCUAACGAUUUGUAUAUAUCUUCUCUAGGAAGAGCCAGUUGAAAAAACGCAUGAAUGUAAUAAACUUUUGCUCAACUACUUUCAAAACACUGAAAAAAAAAUCCAAUCAACUUAAAACCAAUCUGUUUUCCUGUCUGCAAAAUGAAGCGUUUCACGGUUCUUGCUCAAAACACGUCCCAAAGACUUGAGUCUGCCAUUGUAAUCUAUUAGUGCCAGAACCAUUGAACAGAGAACCCACCUGAAACUAAAAAAUAGUGCCUAAGAGAAUGGUUUUUGUGGCUGUUUUUGAUAUGGCCCAUGGGCUUGAAAAAGGGUUGCCUGAUGCUGUCUGGGCACCAACAGGGCUGGAGGCCCCAUCUAUGCAUCUCACUGUGUUACAGAGGACACAGCCUUAGAUGGGCUUCAGAAGAGGCCAAGUUAAUGUGUCUUUGUCAAGUAGCUCUGUGCCCUAAGAACUUCUGUUUUUACUCAGAAAUCUCAAUUAGGGUGCAGUUAAAUUGCUCAUGUUGCCAAUGGCUCCUCAUGUUGCUGUUCCUCAGCAUCACUAAAUGUCUUAUCUCACAGCGUAGCCUUCUCCAACAGCUAGAUCCAGCCCCUCCACGUGUCCACAUGUAUGUAAUCUGGUUGUUUACUUCUGGUGAUUAGAUUUAUAGUGGUCGUGUGCCUAAUUUAUGGGCAUAAGGUUUUGUGGGGUAAACCUGGACUUUGGAGUAGUAUGGCCAGGGGCUUACAACUCCUGCAGCCAUUGUUCCUGCAGGACAAGACUGCUUCUUGUCUGUAACCCAAUGUGGUCAGCUGGAAAGGCACUCCACAAGCUGUCCUUUAUCAUAUGAAUUGAUUUGAAACAGCUGAUGGAUGUGACAGGUUCACUCUGUGGGCUGCCAACUACUUAAAACACACAGGUCUUGUUUCCAAUACAAAUCACAGAUAAAUUCCUCGUGGAAAGUAUUAUGUUAGCUGAAGUGGAAGUUUUAAUCUUUAGCUUGCAAGAAUGUUGGAUGAUGAUUGUAAUUCCUUGUAGUAAAACAAAUUCUUCAAUUUACGAUCUCACUAUGAGGCCAGCAUCACUGGGACUUAUCAUGCUGUUUACCUUUCUUUUCUGUGCUUCUAUUACACCAAUUUGAACCUGGAUCCUGUAAUUAUCAGGCUACUGGCCAAAUAUUAGAAAACAUUCACACAGUUAUGUGGCAACAAGACUACUGUCGGAAAGAAAGAAUAAAAAUAUUUGGAAUAAAAAUAACCGGUGGAAAUUCAACUGACUUAGGCUUGUAUAGGCCAAGAGGCAGAUCUUGUCUGAUGGAUUUCCCACUGAGGAGUGUGCGCUUCCACCGUGAAUUUGGUUUUCAUCACUGAUUAUUUUGUUUGUAUUCGGAGAAUGUUUCUAUUGUCAAGAUACAGCUCUAGGAGCAGAAAGAAUGAGCAGCAAUAUGAGUGAUCCAUGCUAAAAUGUCAGGAUAAUAUUCCUAUAUCUUAGCACAGGGGAAUGGUGUUUGCUUUUACUUUAUCUGAAACCUGGUCUGCUCAACAGUUCUCACCCAGAGGAGUUGGGAGGGAAGAUGAAGUGCCAGACUCCUGUCCAAUUUAGUCUUGCUUUCACAAGACUUGAGUGAAUUGCUGCAAAAAGUUGGCAGCGCUGUUGUGCGGGGUCAUGCUGCAUGUCAAUCCUUGUGGGUCCCCUUUGGAGGAAUUCUCUAAACAUUGCUUUUGCAUGCUGAGGGCCUUCAGGGAGAAGAGCAGGCUGGAUUUCCUGCUGCCAGUAGUGUAUUUCUGAGGUCAGAGAAGAGGAACUUGGCUCUCCAUGUGUCCUGGGUGCUCUAAUGCACUUUGAGCAUUGCUCAUGAGUUUCUCCAUGGCUUCUUAGGGCAGAAUCUCAAGCCCUGUCUCCCUCAUCUCUUAAGAAGUACCUAAUUUCUGGAGGGAAAGAGAGAGGGCAAGUGGCUUACUUGCUCUCUCUAAAUCAGGAACCCAUUUCUGAGCGUUUCAACAGGAGAGAUGAAACCAGCUGAGAGUUGGGAGGGGCGUGUCUGAAUCCUCUCAGGCUGAGGAAGAUGCUGAACCUGAGUGCCCUGUGCAUGGGAUGGCUGAUCUCAACACAGGGCUGCUGCAGUACAGCAGGACACAACAACUCAUUUUGUCCUCUCAGCCAGAAUACUGCAAAGUCCAGAAGAAAGCUGCAGCCUGGGAAGCCAGAUUUUAUCUAUUUCCUUUGCCUGGGAGUGAACGCCUUGAGCUUUGAUCGUGGUGAAUAAGACCAGGAAAAAAGGAAAUGUUGGGAACCAGAUCUGACCCAAGUUUUUCGGCCAGCCAGGUCGCUCCGCUGUGAAUGCCAGUCCUGCUUUUGGGCAACAAGGUCUUCGAUAAGAAAAGUGAGGAAUGGAAAUGCAGUGCUCCAAAUCCCAUGCUAAUUGCUGACCUGUUCCUUCCUCUCUGAAGCCCACAGGAAAGCUCCUGUACCCAAGAGUAAGUGCACAGGGGGAAACGGGCUCCUGACACAGGGAAAGCUGCUGGAGUGGUCAUGCAAAGUGAUUCCUCAAAUCCUCAAAUCCAGGCUUGUGUGUAGCCUCCCAGAAAACAUCUGUUCUCACAACUCUUCCAAAGAAGACCUGUUCUGAAAGCUGUGCUUGCAGAUGGCUUACGCUGGGGCACAUUUUGAGAAGCCCCAAACCCUGCCCUGGCAAUGCAAGACAAAACCUCACUGCACCUCUCCUCUGGGCAGCAAUCCUUUCCUUGUGGCUCCGCCAGAGGAUGCUACAGACUUCGGGAAGAGCCAUGCAGCUCAGCCUGUCAUUCGCAGCAUUCUGAAAUGCACAACCAGUCUCUCACUAAUACAAUCCCAGCCUCCUGGGGAGCAAGAUGAAAGGACAGCAAUGCCCAGGCCAUCCGAAGUUAACCCUGCGACUUGCUGGGGCUCAACACCAGCCCCUUUGCAAGCAGGGAGUGCAGAUGGAGCAGGUCCUUGAAGGGUGUCCUUAAGGGACGAGCUGUCAGCAGGAUCAGUGCUGGGCUGCCCUUUUGCCAGAGAGAAAGGAAAAAGAGGAGUUAAGUGGUUAAGGAGCCAGGAGUCAGAUUAUACUGGAAAGGGCAAAAAAAGUCUGAUUUGAGCAGUUUCCCUGGGGGACAAGUUCAUCCCAUGCUGUUCAGAUGACUGUGACAUUGAGAGGAGUCCAAGCACGUGUCUGCCGGAGUCUUUGAGGAGGAGAGGUCUAAAAAAUACAUUUUUCCCAAGUUUGGAGCUGAUGAAGCUGAAGCUCUCCUGAACAGGAGCCAAGCCACCACUCAGCAAACCUUAGUGUUGUCCUCAAAAUGGAGACAGAGCUUUCAGCAUAGUCUACAAACGCAGAUUCCAGACAAAGUCCUAAUGAGAAACAAACAGCAGACUUUUGGUCUCUGUGUCAGUGGUACAUACUGGUUAACCUCGAAUGCAGUUCUCCGUAAUACAUUCUGACAUAUGAUUUUGCUGCAAAUCAAAGAUGCCGUAUAUACUCCCUCUUACACUGGUUUUGCUUUAAAUCACAAGAAGCUGGAGCUAGGUAUGUUCUGGAAAAAGAUUCCAAGGUCUCAGUGUCAUUUGAUAAGCAUAUGGAUUGACAAAAAUUCUUUAUCUGAUUUUUCUUUUUUUCUUGAAAAUGAGGUAUUGCAAUACUAAAGGGAAACAAAAUGCACUGCUCAGCGAGGCAGGGUCUUGCUGGGGACAAGCUGUGCGCUGAAGUGAUUCAAGAGGAAAAAGUGGCUUCUUUACCUCUGGCUGAUUGUUAAUGCCCUUCCAGCAGAGAGGCUGCAGAUAGCCACAAGGAACCGCACUCAGGGUGAUACAGCAUGGUCAGUGAUAAACAGGACAGCAGGUGAGAUGGACUAACAGCUCCUCCUGGCUUUGGAAAUCGGUGAAUCUGUGAAUUAUGGGAAGCAGUGCUUUUUCCAUCUACUUUUACUUUGCAGCUCACCCCUGCGUUCAGGCCCCUGCGACACGAUAUAUUCCCAUGGCUCUAGAGGGGCUGCUUUUGGGUUAAUUCACUGCAAUCCUGACACCACGCUCUUGACAAGUGGUGUGCUAGGAGGAUGGGAAACAAGAUGUAAGAGGUGCCUCAGCAAAUGGUUUGCUAUGUUACCAAAUAAAUCCCCCACGCAGCUCAUGCCUUAUGUGCUCUUGUUUAUUACACAUAUUUAAGCUCUUGGCACAUUGUAACCUUCUGCUUCGCCCCGUAACUUUGAGAGAAGCAAAAUAUUUUAACCCGUAAUAAACUACAGGCAUCUCCCCCAGCAAUUGCUUUUGCGAGCCUAUGAUUUCCUAUCCUGCUCUAGGAAGCACUGAAGGUCUGAUGCAGCUCUGGAGACCUCAGCCAAGUUUUCCUUCUGUAUGCGAACCUUUUUUUUUAACUCCAUAACUCUUCCUGUUUCCAGUGAAGCCUAUAUUUAAAUAGUUUGCUGAGUCUGGGGCUCGGUGAAAGAGGUCUGUCAAGAGACUACAAAACAGGUGGAUGAUGUUUAGUCUCUGGCCAGCAGACACUGCUGAUAGCUACAGGAUGCUGGUGUUAUCCCCUAUUGAAAACAAACUGCCUCCUGUUUAGUUACAGGCACUUAAAUAUUAAUAAAAAACGUAAUCAGCAAAGGGGGAAAAUACAGUUUAUUUUUUUCCUUUCCUCUCCUGCAUAGGGCCAAAAGGAUUUUAGAGUAAAUUAAUAUUAGCACCUUGCUCCAAGCCAAAAGAAAUAAAGCAGAAAAUCAAAGUUAUUCUUAACGCCAAGAAAAUUGCAAUUUCAUGCCAGAUUUACAGUCAUGCUGCUCAUGCUGCUAGUGUUAUCCUUUAUUUUGACCAAGACAUCAUUAACAUAGCUGCUGACUUGACAAAGGUGAUGCCAGACAAACUUCACCUGAUCCUAACAGUCGACUGAUGAGAUUUUUCAAGAAAGCAACACAAAAAGCCAAACAAUAGGGCCCCAUGAGAGGCUCCUGCAGAGUCAGAGCUGGUGGGACAGAGGGAAAUCUGCUUGGUCUCCAAAUGGGAUGGGCAAGGGCUCUUUUGUGGUGACAGCUGAAUUUUUAAUUGGUCCCUUAGUGUUGCCUUGCUUGACUCCAAACUCACCUGGUGCCUGCAGAUUGACUCUGGCAUCGCAGUUCCUGCUCUGCACCAAUGUGGAUCCCCAGAAGCUGUGCUACUGACCUUAAUUCAGGUGGGAAGGCAGGCCCAGAAGAGCGGUCUCAGCCUGGGAAUGGUCUAUCAAUCCAAAUUCUUUGGCAGUAGCAGAGAAUUUAGGUUUGCAUCUGGUUUCUCUGGAGGGCCAGAACUGAUGUCUGAACCCAAGGAUCUUCAAGGAGCUGAACUUUUUGCCUUGGGUGUUCCCAUACCUCCAGCAGUGAUUGGGCGUGGUGGUUUUGCACGAUGAGUAAACACCAAAUGCAGCUGCCUGGAGAAAUAAACACCUGGCAAAAUAUUUUUGGAGGAUUAGUCACUGUCUGUGUUUUUGGGAAGGUUGCAUCCCCAGCUGCACAGCGCGUGUCAUGGGGAGCCUUCCUGAACCCGUUCCUUUGGAUGCAUUCCUGAUUUUAUUGUCGAGUGGCUUCACACACAGUGUGCCCGUGGUUUUUCAGCAUGGAUGCUGCCUUUCUUGUAUUGCUAGGUGUCAAAAUGUCAAAUGACAAAAUGUCCCAAGAAACACCCUGGUUAGAGCCAAUGGUCAAAGCACGUUGGCAUGAAUUUACAUGUGGGUGCGACGCAGGAGGACAAUCCCUGCUUAUAGCUGCUGGGAUCCCGCAGCAUAAGAUAACACAUCUGACUUCUUGCAGAGGGCUUGUUCCUUUGGCCAGAAAUCUGGGUUAACGUCAGCACAAGGAGCCACAUGCAGAGCUCUGGGAUUUCAUCCAAGAAACCUGAUCCACGUGAUUUGAAAUACAGAUAAACAAGCAAAAACACUGCAGAAGGGGAAGGGCGAGAGAACAUUGGGAAGGCACGAUGAUGGGAGAAAGCUGCUUGGACAGGGCAGGCUGUACACUGCCCAUACACUGGUGGUGACAGUAGGUGACAUGCAGCCCAUGCUCAGAGGAUCAUUUGUACCCCAAUAUCACCUCUACAUUUGCUGCUUUAGGAAAGCUACACCAGGUGGGGCUUCAGCUGCCUAAGCACUGUUACAGUGCAGUCCCCAAAUCCCAAUGUUUGGUGACGUGAGAUGCAGCUGGAUCAGAUAAAUCAGCCAUCAUCUUGCAGUGGCAACUGGAGAUCAGCAGCAUUUUCUGUCAGGCUCAGAGAAGGCUCUUCCCAGUUGUAAAGCUCUGGAUAAAUGGGUUCUCAUCUUGCUUCUCGCUGCAGAGAGGUGGUUUGGAAGCAAAUUACAGCAGCAGCAUGGAGAAGGGCACGGGAACACUUGGCAGCAAAUUGCUGCUUCCUGCAGCAGCAGCUGGUGAAGCACCUCAUGUUUGCCAGCAAUGGGCAGGGAUGGAUCCUGCUUCCCAAAUACGUGGUUCACAUGGAUACCAAACUGCAGUGCCUCCCCAGCCUCUAUUUUUGUUUGCAACAGUUUAUCACAUUAUCUGUCAACACUAACUUCAGAAGGUCUGUAAUUUGCAGCAUCACCUCUGAUCCUACCAGGAACCCUCAUAAUUAUCUACCAGCUAUCAGAAAGAACAAGAGACACAAAAGCUUCUUUGGACUAUUUAAAUAAUACUGACUUUGUGCUUCCCACUAGGUUAUUAGGUAGCAGAUUAAUUGGAGGCGUGUGAUGCAUCUAGUCUAGCUACAGUACCUCCCUAACUUGGCUUUGCUGGGCACAGAACCAGCCCAGUGCAGUUUUUUUCCCUGCCUUUCCCUUUUAUUCCACCUCCCCUAGUUCCCUGGAACUGCAUCCUGCAGGAUGAUGCUGGAGGAACAUGGGACACUUUCAUCUCCACGUGGUCUGCAGCAAGCAUUGCUCUCUGCAAGUGGAAUGUUGAGCUCAUUAAAAACACAAUUAAUCCCUUUUUAUCUAUCAGUGUUUGUUCCCAGCUCAGUCAUUAAACGAAGGACAGAAGUUAUGUCCUGCUAGCAAACUGGUUAUUUUUGGAAUCCUACCAAAGAGUUUCUCUUUCCACCAAGCUGCCCUUGCCCUCUCCCAGUCCCAAAGGCUCCAUAUGCAAGUGGGAAAUACUGAAUUAUUUACCUUAGAGAGUCACAGUGAAGGGCUGCAAAGGAAAAGAACAGGAACUCAUUCUGUUCAUUGGUCUGGUGGUGCCAUGGGACUGGUGCCCAGCAGACCUGGCCUUGCCUUGCUUCCUGGGUACCUUUGGUUCCAUUACCUCCAGACAAAGGAAGAAGACCAGGGCUGUACAAGUUUACCCCAAGGUCAUGGCUGUUUGCCAGUUCUGUGCCAACAGCUGUGUGGCACCAUUUCACAGCCAGUUUUCCUUGCUGACAGCACCAAGUAGGACCUCUUGCUCUACGAAUGCGCAAAUGAUAGACAUGUUUCCAGGCAAAUAGCAAAUAUGUAUAUAUAUCUAUAUAAAUAUGUUUAAGAGUAUGUUUCCUGAACUACCAUUAUAAGGGGGAGAAAAAAGUUUCCCUACUUCUCACACCUUUGGACAAAGCAGUGGUGCUGCUCAGGCCACAAGUGCAUUGUUAAAAGCAUCUGCUUUCACUUAAGGAUCUUGAAGGAUUGCAGAACUCCGGGAACAUGCAAAUUCAAGAGCUAUAGAAGUGCCAGAGUGGAGAAAGUUAAAUGUUCCCUCGAGGGCAUUCAAGUUUACAGAGUUUUAGUUCACUUUAAUUAGAAUCCCAGAGCAUCAUCUGCUGAAGGGCUUCUUCAUUUGUAUUUUAUUAUUCUCCAUAAUAAGUGUGUGUAUUCCUUUCUUGACCCCGCAGAGCUGUGCACCACAAGGUGAACUCAACUCACAUCACACUGGCCCGAUAACAAGAGCCCAGUCACACGAGUGUGCAAGUGAUGCUGCCGUGCACAGGGGACAAAAUGCAUAGGGAAGCAAGUUUGACUUGAAUUUCCCUGUAGAGGACCUUUCAAUGCACCUUCAGUGUCCAUCUGUGUGUGAGUCCCCAGGCUGCCUUAAAUGCACCCUGACCCCACUGCUGGGGAACGCCUGCCUGUUCUGCUGCUGCAAGGAAAGCACAGCUAAAUCCCAGCGCCGCUGGGGCUGAACGCAGCAGUGCUGGCUGAUAUCCAACUGAGGCUUCUGCUUUGGUUUUCUUUUCUUUUUUCUUUUUUUUCUUUUCUCAGGACGUGCAUUGAAACUUAGCGCCAAAAUUGCUUCUUUUCUCUAUUGCUGCUCGUUAGAAAAAGAUCAUGUUGCCAAACUUGAUAACGUGAUGCAGAACCCUAUCCUGACAGCACGCUUUGGCUUUGGCUCAGGAAGUGCAUGCAAGCACCUCAGCCCUUGCCAUCAUCCUUGGGCUCUAUUUUCUUCCCAUGUGCUGUGGUUUUAGAGAAAAAAUGUUUGAGAGCAGUGUGGCAGGCUUCGUAUGCAAUUUUAUUGCUUUCAGAGGGCUGGGACAGGAAGGGCAUGCUGACCACUCGCACUGGCUGUGUGCGCCCAUGUCCAUGCUGGGUUUUCCCAGCCAGGCUCUGUGCUUCCCGUUGUAUCAUUUUCCUUAGCUCAUUUUGGGAAAGAGGGCAAGGAGUUUUGCUGCAAUGUUCCCAAAAGGUUCACCUACGGGGCUGCCAAUAUGAAGGAAAAUCAGUGGCACUGGGAAAUCUCAGGCACCCUCACUGUCACAGAUUUUGAUUUGUGCAAAUGUUGUGUCUGCAGAUGGCAGUAAAGAAUGCCUUUCAUUCCUGGGAACGUGGGCAAUAAUUGUGCUUUGGCCACAGCACCUGCUUGCUUGCACCAAAAUGUCGCUGCGGCAGCACGAGCUGCCAGGACCCACAGGGAGAAGGGAUCUUUGGGAAAGGGGAGCUGUGCUGGAGCACAGCAGGGGCUAUUUGUUCAAGGCUUUGUAACCUUGGGGAAGUUGUUUUGGCUCCUUUCAUUUCUGGGCUGGUGACCCAGGUGGGGACAUGCUGCCCCAUACCACAGCCAGCACCAGCAGAUCCCAACCGUGCCUGAUGUACAUCACUGUAGACGGGUGAUUUCUGGCUCUGCCUUCUCACGAUUUCUCAUUUUGCUUCCUCUGUCUCAGUAAGAAAAUAUCAUCCAGCUCAUGACAUUUCCUUGAAGUUACUUGUGAGCUGUUCCCAGUGCUCGCCAGGGCAGCGCUGCACGCAGCCGGCAGGACCUGAGCCAGCUUCUCCACCCAGUGCCGGGGCUGAUGAACUCCCUGGAGAUGUGUUUGCCAUCACCAUGGCCUUUAAGGAGUCCUGGAACAUGGUCUAAUUUCAUGAUUUUUUCCAUCUGGUUUGCCAGUUUAAAGCCGUUUUCACACAUGGCCAAAAAUAACUUCAUUUUUCUCUCAUGAGCUCUGGAAGCAGAAGCUUGUGGUGGUGAAAGGACACCAGGCAUCCACGGGAGCAGCUGGGACACAGCAGGUGCCUCCUAUCCCCUGAAGACCGUGGAACAGGGGGGCACACAGGGACAACCCUCAGGCAAAGAGGGGAUGAAUGCCUGAAUGCCAGCAUUGGAUUGCUGUCACAGCUCAGACAUCCUAGGGUCAGCUCCAUGCUGCCCUCUCGUCCACCACAUGUCAUUGUCCCUGAGCCCCUUCUCACGGGACAGCUUUUAGCCCUGCUGAAAGCAGCACCAAAGGGAGGAGGAGAGAUGCCGAUGACCUCGCUGCUGAUGUCAGAGCAGAGCUCUGCACUUCGUUGCCAUGGCAAUGGAACAAGGACCACAACACACAUUUUCUGGCACAACAUCAGCCGCUCCCACUGCAUCCCAGGGAAUGUUCUCAUGGGACCACGGGCUUCGCCUGCUGUGGUCUCAUUCUUGGAUUCCUCACCUUACAGGUACCUCCUGGUGAAGCAAAACCAUCUGAUCUCUGCUGCUCCUUCCCCCCUAGGAUGCUGUGCAGGAGUGGAGCUGAUGAUUAGAGGAAACAGCUUCUCUCAGUGAUUUUCAGCAUAUCACAGUAAUUUUCUGGAAAUGACACCAAACCACCCCGGAGGUGUUGAACAGAGGUGAAUCAGCUUUAUCAGGUUGGGCAAAGGGAAACUUGGAUCCUCAGUGCAGAGGGCAGUCUUAAGUGGAAAAAAGGCUGUGAGGCUGUCACUGGGGGGAACUGAUCCCCAGGCAUCCCAUAGCUGCAGCCAAGCCUUUGGGCCCAGGCUCAGCAUGUUGUGAAGCAGCUGAGGACACGCAUUUUUUCCCUAAAUCCUUCUGUGCAUCCCAUCCUUAAUUCUCCACUCCUUUCCUUCCUGCCAAAACAGGGGGAAGGAAUGUUUGGGGAGUGAGGUCAGUGGGAAGGCUGUACUUGCCUCCAUCUGGGCUUGUCUGGGGCUGGGGCAUGCAGGUGGCCAGAAGGACAGAUGGGAGGAUGCGGCUGCGAGCAUCUCCUGUGCACCUGAAUGACUUCUGGUGUUAUUAUUUGAUCCUGUGCGAACUGAAUGAUUUAAGGCUGUGGAAUUUUGCUCCUCCCAGAGAAAGGAACCAAGUGGCCAGCUCAGCGCCCUGGCUGCUGAGGUUCACUGCUCCUCCCCACCUCUCUCCUCCUGCUGCUCCUUUUGGGAUAACAAUGGCAGGAUCCAGAUGCUUAUCUGACGCUCCCACUGCCGCCCUCGGCUGAAGCACAGCGGCUGUGCAGGGGCAGCAAGCCCAGUCCCGUUAGGAUCAGGCUAUAGAGUAAGAAUUCACUGGGAUUAGGUGUUACUGAACAGGAGGCACCGCAGUGAAAUGGCAGAUUUCGCAUGUGAAUGGUACUAAUGCAAUCCCACAGCAGCCACAGCUCCAGUACACAUGGAUUUGUCACCUGUUGAUAAAUCACUAAAAUACAGGCCAAAACUAAGCUGUGCAAAGGACAUAGAAAUAGAAGAAAAGAAGCCUUGCUGCUGAGCUGCAGCUCCUGCUUGAGAUUUCCUUUCCCUGUACCCAUGCCCUGAGGACUGGCAUUUCCAGCGUCCACAUAUUGUGAUUAUGCAUCACAGUCUGUAUUUCCCUGAAGAUAACCAGGAAACAUGUAAUUAUCAACCUCAUCUUGAACUAAGAGCCACAACAGCCCCAAGGGUCCUUAUCAAAUGAACCAAGUGAGUUUUUGGAACCAGAUUUUCUGAACAGCACAGCCCCAAAGUGCUGGAUAGGGACAAACCCAGCUCCAGUGUGGCAGAGUUGGGCUGCAUGGGAUAUGUGCAUGGUUAUGUGAAUAGAUUUAUGGGAGAUAUUGGGAAGAAUCUCUGGAUUUUGAAUUUUCUUUGACAUGGGUCAGCGCUCAGCAGUGAGGUUUUGGAGCAGCAGUGCCAGGUACUUUUCCUACAGCCCUGGGGAGUAGCAUGCCAGGUUCUCUACGCCAGUAUUCUUCCCACUGAACCCCGCUGGCUUUCCAGAGAGGGGAUUGCUGUUGGCUUCUUAUUUUUAUUUAAUGUGAUAUUUUGCUACGUGGGGCCAUAAGGGAGCACACAGUGGAUACAGCAGCAGGGCUGCCCUGAGUACACGAUAGCAGUAGAAAACUGCUGAUGCUUUCCUGUAUUGUGGGGUGCCUCCCUGCAGGAAAUAGCGCUUUGUGGUGCGGAGUGCUUCGCCUUCCUGCGUGGCCCCUCUGCUGAGCACUGGGAAAGUUGGGGUGUACCCAUGGCUGGGGAAAGGGAGCGUAAUGCUGAGGGGCUGCAGGAGCCCCACUUCCCAAAAAGCCCUCCAAGGUCCACCAGACUGCCCCGUUAUAUAAAGAUGUGUUAAAGGAUUCAAUCUGCAGAUGCUGUCGGCUCACAGCAUGAUGAGCAGUGAUUUAACCAUGGCAGCAGAGAUGCAGCUGACUGCUGAUUGCUUCGCCACUCUCUCACUGGUGCCACGGAGGUGAGGCUGAGGAGUUGGGAGGAGGAUGGGGUGUUGAGCACUGGAGCAUGACAGCUCCAGGGAGGGGACGCUUCUGCCUCUGUGACCUUUGUUUGGGACCCUGUCUUCACAUGAGUCACCGCAUGCAAGGAGGGUGUGUUCAGCUUUUCCUGUGCCACCUCCCUCUGGGGACCAUGAUGCUCCCCUUCCAAGCACGUUUCUCAGAGACAAAGCCUGAAGAAAUGGUGCCAGAGCAAUGAAAAUGCCCUGCAAACCCGAGCACUGCCUGCACACAUGGUUCUUAAUGUGCGGCACGCCUUUCCAUCAAGCUAAACAAUGCUGACCAUCAUUUCCAGGACAGACUGCCUUCGGUAACACCUUAAUAAACUUUUCCCUUUGUUUGA